CACCCAUGGCAUAGGGAGGUUCCCAGGCUAGGGGUUGAAUCAGAGCUACAGCUGCCAGCCUAUACCACAGCCAUAGCAACGCCAGAGCUGAGCCACGUCUGCGACCUACACCACAGUUCAUAUGGAAAUGCUGGAACCUUAAUCCACUGAUCGAGGCCAGGAAUCGAACCCCCAACCUCAUAGUUCCUAGUCCGAUUCGUUUCCACUGCACCACAACAGGAAUUCCGAUGAAUAAUAAUUUUUGAUUAUUUUUGUAAUCAAUAAAAUGUAAAGAAUAAAACUGAAAAAGAAAGUAAUCAGAUUGUACCUCUUGUCCUGCAACUAUUGCUACAUUCUGCCCCCUUUAAAUCCAUCUAGUUCCAGGUCGGUAUCACCCACCUGUGGACUAAAUAGCUCUAAAUAAAGUGUCUCUGGAAAGCUCUAGGGUAGAGGGAAUAAGACAAAUUUGUUUGUGACUUUAAAAGAUGGUGCUUACUUCCAAAUUUCAGGUUAGGAGAUGGGAGUAUUCUCAGCCCUAUGGAGUGAAAGCUGAAGUUUUGGUUCGCUGUUUAACUUCUCAGAGAACCUAAUCAGAUUAACAACUUCAGUAGGAACUAGAUGCGAUGUUUCAAUUUAGUUUAUAUUAUCAAGCUUCCCCAAGCUAAAAAUAAAAUCAAAGAAUAUUCUUUUGUUAACUGUAAAAUAAAACAAAGCUCCAUCACUUAAUUGAUCUUAUAAAAAUCAAGGUAUAGUAUAUCCAAAACUUUUAAGUAUCAGAGCAUCUGGGUUAUAAUUCGAGUUCUACAGUAAUAUGUGGGCUCAUGUUACUGCACGCCACUCCAAACAUAGUAAGUUCAAACAUAGUAAUUUCUGGAGUUCCUGUCAUGGCGCAGCGGAAACGAAUCUGACUAGGAACCAUGAGGUUGCCAGUUCUAUCCCUGGCCUCGCUCAGUGGGUUAAGGAUCCCAUGUUGCUAUGACCUGUGGUAUGGGUAGCAGAAAGGGCUUGGAUUCCGAGUUGCUGUGGCUGUGGUGUAAGCCGGCAGCUGUAGCUCUGAUUCAACCCCUAGCCUGGGAACCUCCAUGUGCUCUGUCAUCCCGUCCCUGGGGGUCUCUCAAAUCCACCCACCGCCACGCUCCACGUCAGCUCAGCACCCUCCCUCACCUGGACCACAGCCUUAUGUCUGGUCUCCUUGGUCCUCACGGUCUAUUCUGCGCACUAUAGCUGGACUGAUCUGUUAUGGUUCACUUUACAAUCACAUCUUUUCUCCGUUUUAACCCUUUGGUGCCUCCCCAGUGCUCACAAGACAAGGUAUUCUCAGCCCUAUGGAGUGAAAGCUGAAGGGUUGGUUCGCAGUUUGAGUUAAGGGUGAGGCUUGAGGCAGCUUUCCUAUUAAACGCUGCCUUGGUUAAAGCAGUGAUUCCCAAUCUUGAGAUUUACCCCCAAACUUUUUAAGGCUGAUGCAUUCUGAAAACUAUCCCAGACAACUCAAAGUGGGCAGAUGCCCACACUUUGAGGAACACUGAUGAGUGACAAGCAAUAAAGAGAGUCAGAGCUCCAAAUGCGGGAGCAGCCUGGAGUCUGGCAUUAACCAAAGGUGGCUUCCAAGUUCAGGGAAAGCUGCUGUUCUCAGAAUCUGCACCAAAGGUGACUCAUUUUCUCUCAUCCCCUCACCAAAGAGGAGGGUUCUGGUGACAAGCUCCAGCCAGGGGCUCUUUAAAAAAGCAAUGUAAAUAUUGCAUCUUCCUUUUGUUAAUAAUGCACCUAUUUAUUUAUAGAAAGUAAAUGUUUAAAAAGCAGCAGCCUCAUGAUUUUAAUUUGGAAUUUAAUCCUUUUACAGAAUUCAAGAGCAAAAUUCCACAAGGGCUGGACCAGUUCAUACAAAUACUGAGUCUCCAUCAGCUCUCCAAGCCUCUGUGCAUUGCGUGUUCAAAUACAUGUUGGGUGUGGGGCGGGGGAAGGGUUGGGAAGGAGGCUCUGUUUUUUAUCCCACAGUUUCUCAUUGAGAAACUGAUUCCCUCUUUGCCUUCACACAGGACUGAAAAAAUGAUUCCAAACUGCAUACAUCUAUUUGAUGUUAAAAAAAAAAAAAGGGGAGUUUCUGUUGCGGCACAGCGGAAACAAAUCCAACUAGGAACCAUGAGGUUGCGGGUUUGAUCCCUGGCCUCACUCAGUGGGUUAAGGGUCUGGUGUGGCUGUGGCUGUGGCAUAGGCUGGCAGCUGUAGCUCCAGUUGGCCCCCCUGGCCUGGAAACCUCCAUAGCCACGGGCGCAGCCCUAAAAAGACAAAAAGACCAAAAAAAAAAAAAAGAAAAGAAAAAAAAGAAAAAGAACUUGAAGAGAGAACAUCUCUCUUAGGAAACUGUGCAUUCUAAUUUCUAAGUCUUAUUCCAAGGCACUUUUAUUAUUUUUGUACCAAUCAUCUCUCAUUAUUAUUAUUACUCUUUGAACAGACAGGCCUGGGAUUGACUACUAUCCCCCAAACUACUAGCUGCCUAAAUCUGGUCAAUGAACUUACCCUCCCCAAGCCUGUUCUCUGGCUUUUCUUAUUUAAAAUAAGUAUGUGGAACCUGGUAAAACAAGGUAGGUGUCAGAGUUCCCACUGUAGCAUAGUGGGUUAAGAAUCAGAUUGCAGUGGCUAGAGUCACUGCAGAGGUGCAGGUUUGAUUCCUGGCCCAGCACAGUGGGCUAAAGGAUCUGGCAUUGCCACAGAUGUGGCUUGGAUUCAACCCCUGGCCUGGGAAUUACCAUGUGCCAUAGGUGGGGCCAUAAAACAAAAUGUAUGUAAAUUCCCCUUCCUUUCCCUUCUCCCCGCUGCCCGUCACAUACCACAGCAUUGCCUCCGGGAUGCAGUUGUGCAGUUGAUGAUCAAUCUCCUUUUGGUCUAGAACUGGAAUUUAUUUCCUUGCACUCAUGCCCUUUGUACUAACGUCAGUUCGAAGAAAACAUCAUUUGGUCUCAUGUGGUCCAGCAGAGCAUCCUCUAAGAGGGCUGUUGGUUGGCUGUCAAGAGGACUUUCAGGUGGCAUUUAUCCUAUGGGAACUCAUGACGGUCCAAGGCCUCCUUUUCAGCCUUCCAGACCAAGAACCUGAUUUGUCCAAUGUGCUGAUGGAGGGUCUCUCCU
RNAcentral lists this long non-coding RNA (3102 nucleotides) under Sus scrofa (pig). RNAcentral's name for it is "lncRNA (ENSSSCG00015037759.1)". The record is from RNAcentral. Lineage: Eukaryota; Metazoa; Chordata; Mammalia; Artiodactyla; Suidae.